Ribosomal RNA from Loxodonta africana (African savanna elephant), 811 nucleotides. It matches the Rfam family "Eukaryotic large subunit ribosomal RNA", at positions 2391 to 3399 of the family's 3401-position model. NCBI's taxonomy places the organism in Eukaryota, Metazoa, Chordata, Mammalia, Proboscidea, Elephantidae. The record is from Rfam.
GAAUCCUCUGAGAAAUGCCCUGCUGAGCUUGACUCACAUCUGGCACAGUGGUAAGUAUACAUGUGAGAGACCUCCAGUGCUACCACCCCCUCACACAGUGAGAAGUCAGAGUUGGGUCCAGUGCCAACAACAGGCAGGGAGUAUGGGGCAGUACACUUGUCAAAAGAGUAUAUGUAAGCUGAGCUCAAGGAUGGAAAACUCCAGUGGAGCAGAAGGGAAACUGUUCACUUAUCUGAAUUUUCAAUAUAAAUACAGACCCUAAAAGUGGGACCUUCCUGUCCUUCUGACCUUUUGAGUUUUAAAUAAGAUGUCAGAAAAGUUACCAUACUGAUAACCAGCUUUUGGCGGCUAAGCAAUCAUAGAGAUCUUGCUUUUCAGCCCUUCAAUGUCAGCGCCUUCUAUCCUUAUGAAGCAGAAUUCACUAAUCAAUGGAUUGUUUUCUCACUAAUAGAGAACAUGAGCUGGUUCUGGGCCUUCUGAGACAGGUUAGUUUUACUUUACUGAUGAUAGUUUGUUUCCUAGUAUUUCAACUCAGUAAGAAAGAAACCACAGAUUCAGACAUUCGAUGUGUGAGCCUGGCUGAGGAGCUACGGAUUCGAAGUUUCAGUGGGGUUCUGACUGAACACUUCUAAGAAUCCCGCCAAGGGCAGAAGCAUGGUGGUAAGCUUCAGUUGGCUUAGGACAGCUGCUCCCUGUUGCGUUCUCUGGCUGAACUAUCUAAGUAGGCCUCAUCUUCAUUAUUCUUUAUCAUUAAAAAAAAAAAUUCCAUUAAUUUCAUUCAUAGCAUCUGAGUUGUAAUUAUUUUUAUUGU